Long non-coding RNA from Quercus robur (English oak), 130 nucleotides. RefSeq lists it as uncharacterized. The record is from RefSeq and is a predicted model, not a curated record. Lineage: Eukaryota; Viridiplantae; Streptophyta; Magnoliopsida; Fagales; Fagaceae. The transcript has 2 exons.
GAGCUGACAAUUAUAGUUAGGAUUUUAACUUUUUAAGGCACCAGAGGGAGGUAACCUAUGUCAUAUAGAAAAUGGUGAUCAGGUGGUAACUAUAACUUGAGCUCAAGCUGGUUUGAAGAUUGACCUCCCA